CCUACGGGAGGCAGCAGUGGGGAAUAUUGGGCAAUGGAGGCAACUCUGACCCAGCAAUGCCGCGUGAGGGAUGAAGGUAAUAUUAUUGUAAAGCUCUUUUCUUUGGAACGCAUUAAUGACGGUACCAGAGGUAUAAGACCCGGCUAACUACGUGCCAGUAGCCGCGGUAAUACGUAGGGGGCAAGCGUGGUUUGGAAUGACGGGGGGUAAAGGGGGUGUAUGUGGUUAGAUAAGUUAGAUGUUUAAUACCCAGGGCCUAAUUCAGGUGCUGCAUCUAAAACUGUUGGACUUGAGUAAUGGAGAGGAUAGUGGAAUUCCUAGUGUAGCGGUGGAAUGCGUAGAUAUUAGGAAGAACAUCAGUGGCGAAGGCGACUAUCUGGACAGCAACUGACACUGAGGCACGAAAGCGUGGGGAGCAAACAGGAUUAGAUACCCGAGUAGUC
Molecule: ribosomal RNA, 443 nt
Filed under: uncultured bacterium
Lineage: Bacteria
Description: partial 16S ribosomal RNA
Rfam family: Bacterial small subunit ribosomal RNA
Source: RNAcentral